AACAAAGACACCUUUAUGUGUUUCAAACUGUUUCAACUACAGCGACUCGCCAAACCGUCCAGCAAGUUCGUCGCUGUAUAUUGCUUCUUUUGUUUAAUCAUGCUUGGGCUGAGGGUGGGAGGAUUGGCACGAUUGCUUUCCGUUGGCACAAUUACUUCCAAAGAAGUCGAGAAGUUCUGCAAAUAACAAGUGCACCUGUAUAGUGGAGGGCUUAAGAUAUCUGCUGUAGCCUAGGAGUUGGCGGAACUUUCAAUUCACCCCAAGCUUUGGUCGAUGAUCUGUUUGAACGGUGAGACACCCUGCGGUCUGGGGUAUGUGGAUAGGGGCAGAUUGAACAGCCACUAGUGUUUGGGGGGUAGGGAAGGAAGGAGGAAGCACCACCACUACAGAGAAUGCUUUAAAGAAGGGAAAUUGCGAUGUCCGCCCGAAGCUGUGCACGCGACACCAUGGAAACACUGUUCGUCCGGAGUCGUACUUUCACCAACCGUCGCUGCUUUGAUCUACCCGAAAGUGCUUUGCCGUGUUGGAAAACUACUUCGACUAUCUGCGAUUUUCUUCCUCUAAGUCCACUCAGGUCAAGGUCGGCCCUAGUGACCUAUGCCCCUGCUUUCCCAGCGGAAGUUACGGCAUGUCGCGAAAUAACGUCAGUGUCGCCCGCUUCUACGACCUGUCGGACGACAGGCAGGGCACCGCCUCGGCCUCGCACAUCUACCGCGAGAUGGCCGGACCAGCGGGAGGACCUCUCUCGCUGUCGGAAAUCGCGACGAAAAAGGCGGAUGGAGUGAAAAUGUCGAUGUCUAAAACUACCGCCCGGGUGACGCCAGGAAGGAUGUUUCUGAGAGACAAGGGCAUGUUGACGAAAGGAGAACGGGAGAUCAUCAAGGGCAUUUGCAAAAAUCGCGGCGACCUGCGGCGUGACGGCUGCUCCCAGUCGGACAUGACGGUGCGACACCAUCACGAGGCCUGGCAGAUGGGUAAGGCAAUGACUGCGAGCAAGGAUCUGCUGCGUGGCACCCUUUUAGAGAUGGCCUCAUCAGGGGUGGCAGGUGGAGAAGCCGUCAGUGUCAAAUCAUUGACGCAAAUCAAGCCAAAGCUGGUGGAGAAGGUAACAUCGCUCAUCGUUCUCAAUGUUUGAUGUGUUUGAAAGAGCAAACCUGCAGCACCCGAAGCUCCGCCUUCCGACUUCUCGCCGUGAUGGCGGCGGUCUGAUAACACCGCCAUCCACUCCAGAACCAUCCAGCAUCCACGGCGCCAGUUUGUCGAACAAUUUUCAGCCCCAUCAUCACUGCCAAACCUUAGCACCACACCAUCACACCAUCACGCCUGCACCCAGGCUACCCCACCGACGUCAGGAAACCAGUUCCCAUGAAACGAUAGUUGUGACCCCUUUAAGUGCACACACCUCUCAGGAUACGGAACCCAGUGACUCUGACAGCCAGGAUUCCAGAGGCAGACGGAAGAUUCAGGUGAAAGUGUACUUGCCCAAAGUCGGCGCCGAUACGGUUGAUGACGACAUAAAGGCUUGUAUUCUACAUGGAAAACCCAUACUGGCCAGGGAGAGACACAUAAACCAGAACGAUCUCAAACACAAGAAACUGCACAAAGACAGUUUGGAGACUACUCAAGCGUCCACAUGGGAACGACUUCCGACAACAAAAUACAGAGACAAACCCAGAGUAGUGACUCUUACAAACCGGCCAUUCCGUGGUGCCACAGAGGGAACAGGUACAGGUCGAUUUUUACCAGCGUGAAUAUGCUAGGGUGAUAAAAUUAUGGUAAGGAAUAGAGGAUGAGUCUGGACAUGGUAAAUAAUGACUUUGGGACUUCUUUCAUGUGAUGUAAGUAGCUAUGAAGAACAUGUUCAACAUCAUAAGUAUAUUACUUCAUGUGAAUGUUGGAUUUUUUUUUCCGUCAUAUUCUUCAUAGAUUUCUACAGAAACAAAUCUUCAUUUGAACAGACUGCAUUGCAAAGUAGUAGUAUUGUGCAAUAAAGACGGUUUACAAUUAAGCAGUUACUAUAGAGCAACUAUGAUUAUGUUAAAAAAUAUUGCUACUGUAUUAUUUAAGGCCACAUUUUUGGACUGAAGACAUAACCUGUUGCAUUCAAAUGCCAACAUUGCAUUAUGGCAUGUUUGUCUUGUAUAAAGGCAAUGUUCAUGAGCAU
This 2164-nucleotide unclassified non-coding RNA is filed under the name Pomacea canaliculata. Its description in RNAcentral is "uncharacterized LOC112565691, transcript variant X5". The record is from RNAcentral. Lineage: Eukaryota; Metazoa; Mollusca; Gastropoda; Architaenioglossa; Ampullariidae.